This 549-nucleotide ribosomal RNA is filed under the name Bacillus sp. (in: firmicutes). Its description in RNAcentral is "bacterial SSU rRNA". It matches the Rfam family "Bacterial small subunit ribosomal RNA", at positions 63 to 596 of the family's 1533-position model. The record is from RNAcentral. Lineage: Bacteria; Bacillati; Bacillota; Bacilli; Caryophanales; Bacillaceae.
CGAACUGAUUAGAAGCUUGCUUCUAUGACGUUAGCGGCGGACGGGUGAGUAACACGUGGGCAACCUGCCUGUAAGACUGGGAUAACUUCGGGAAACCGAAGCUAAUACCGGAUAGGAUCUUCUCCUUCAUGGGAGAUGAUUGAAAGAUGGUUUCGGCUAUCACUUACAGAUGGGCCCGCGGUGCAUUAGCUAGUUGGUGAGGUAACGGCUCACCAAGGCAACGAUGCAUAGCCGACCUGAGAGGGUGAUCGGCCACACUGGGACUGAGACACGGCCCAGACUCCUACGGGAGGCAGCAGUAGGGAAUCUUCCGCAAUGGACGAAAGUCUGACGGAGCAACGCCGCGUGAGUGAUGAAGGCUUUCGGGUCGUAAAACUCUGUUGUUAGGGAAGAACAAGUACGAGAGUAACUGCUCGUACCUUGACGGUACCUAACCAGAAAGCCACGGCUAACUACGUGCCAGCAGCCGCGGUAAUACGUAGGUGGCAAGCGUUAUCCGGAAUUAUUGGGCGUAAAGCGCGCGCAGGCGGUUUUCUUAAGUCUGAUGUG